Molecule: long non-coding RNA, 1883 nt
Organism: Spodoptera litura
Lineage: Eukaryota; Metazoa; Arthropoda; Insecta; Lepidoptera; Noctuidae
Source: RefSeq, a predicted model, not a curated record
UCGUGAUAUAGUAAAUUCUUUUUGUGUUGGUUGUUGGACAUUAUAACAAUAACCAUUGAAGAAAAAUCUUUCACUCAUCUCUCUUUGAAGUUAUACCUAUAAUGAAAAAAAAACUUCUGUUUGAAAUGUAAAGCCUACAUGGAUUUAUGUCUGACUGAAGUGAACGUUGCGAUUGGCGAAUUUAUAAUCGUUUCGAAAACUUAGUCUGACGCUAGCGAAUGCUUCCUUAUAUGCCCAAAUCAACUACAGACAUUAUAUACUAUGUAAAUAUAUCAUACCUCGGCGUAUUGAUUGGACCUGCGCACUGCAGACUUCGCAGUACUGCAGUGUCGCCUGCAUUCAGCCAUUAGCUGUUCUGCUGCGGAAGCCUUUGAUUAUUGUCUUUAUCUACGAGUCUUAGCCAGGAAAGACAAAGAGGGUGUGGUCCUGAGACACGUGGCGCGUCGGAGGCGCUUCGAGCGACCCGAACCGGUCCUUCGAACCACCACUGAGGUUCUACUGAUUUCUUAAGAUACCCAACACGCUCGAGAUCGAAAGAUGGAGCGAGUGAUGCCUCGGUAGGGCUGCGCCCUCUGGUCGACAGCAGUACUUCUUCUGGGGCCUACUAACAGGUCAUAGCUUCAAGAUGAACGUGGUACGUGAACGACGGGUCGUGUAUGACGAGGAGAUAGAAAUAAAGAAACUCAUCCCCAAAAUAGUAACUGUUAUUGUGGUGGACUAUAUACUGGAAAGACUCUUAUUAGGAACAAAUUUUACUUAUUUACUCAUACGAUAUUAUACUAGACCACUAGUCCAUGCAUUGAAGGAACAUUGGAAACGGUUUAAAGAUGUAAUCAUGCAGACUGAGGAAUCACACGCACAGACGAUGGACUAAAUAAAUGACAAUAAAAUUUCUACAAACUACAAACUACUACAAUACACUACAAUGUUGAAUAAAUAUGGCGUAUAAGUGAACAGAAGCAUAUAAUUGCUUUUGUGCAUAUUGCCGGCAUAGCAUAACAACUAUUGUGUCGUUUAAAAAUGUAACUUAAAGGCGUGAAAAUGUAGUCUAAUUUUGUAUGUAAUAUCACAGGAUUAAGUUACAUUUUUAAAUAUAUCAUUAAAAAUGCCAUGUCGUCAAUAAUGCUGAACCAAAUCUUGCAAACAUUUUGUUUUAGUGACGAACUGUUUGCAAGAUUAUCUUUUUUUAUUUAAUGUUUCAAACGAUCGCCCAAAUUGUAAUCGUAUUAUAGUUAUAAUGUCAGAGGUGAGCGAUUAGAAACAGCAAGCAUAUUGGAAUAUAAAGGAUCUCUUAUAUUAAAGGUCUUUUAUAUUACCAAACUACCGCUACGUUUCACCCUUCUUUCUUCUGGUUUUUUCCAACUUGGACUGAAUCUAAUUAACCUGAUUUGGACCUCAACCCAGUUGGAUAAAAUGAUAUAGAAAAAGGGAUGGUAGUAUUAACUCUAUAGCAAUUACCUUCUGCCCUCCACAUCCUAAAAAUGAAACCACGUUUUUUGAAAAACCCGUGUCAUUCUUUACUUCUCUUCUGUGCCAUAAAAUUGAAAUCAGCUUUGAGAAUAGGCUUGCACUUCCUGGUCGCUCCCCUCUUCUAAAUGUUGGGAAACUGUACCAAAAUAUACAACACGACUAAGAUAAGUACUAAAAUGUAAGACUUAAUUCUGUGAAUUUUAAGAUCGGUGUACAUUUGAUAAGUGUGUUUACGUUUAAGUGCAUUUAAGCUGGAACAUUUUAAGGUUCCAGUUUAUCUGAAAAUUUAGAUAUUAGAACGUCUCUUUUGUAAUAUCGUCCCUUUCUGAAUGUCGCCCGAUUAAGAACGUCUCUUUUAUUAAAAUGUCGACUCAUUCUAGAAUUGUAAUCUAUAUAUAAUAAAUGUUUAAAAG